AUUCAUACAGAGAAGCGAUCACAUUAAGAUCCAGCACUUGUUUCUACAUUUCCAAGCCGGAUUCUGCCGUCCUCCUCCUUCUAAGACGGGCGGUGCAGCGUCACAAGCGUCGGGACAGAUCUAUCCGGCUCGGAACAGACUUCGCGCUCUACCCGGCCAGGCCCAGCUCUCACCCGGGGACCCGUGUCGGGCUCCGCAGCUGGGACAUGGCGCCCCCCGGCGGGCGGCGAGGGGCUCGGCCGGACGAAGCCCAGACACCCGCAAACUCCCGACUCCACAGGUAGCGGCGCCGACGCCAGGGCCUCCGCGCUCUGCUCUCCCAGGCCCCGUGCCCCCGGCCCACCCGGCCGCCCUUACCAUGUUCUCGGCGCCGACUCCGCCUCCGCUCGGCCGCGCGCCCUCCCGCUGCCGACCCGCGCCGCCGCCGCCGCUCUCGCAGCACCGACCGCCGCCGCCGGAGCCGGACAAUACCCCGUGCCCGCCUCGCGCUGCUGUGGCCAAUGCCCGCUUGUCUUGCUGGUUCGAACCCCAGCGGCUGUUCAAUCGCGCGCCUCCUUCUAGCCAGACCCCGCCCCCCCGGCACCGCCUUCCUAACGGCUGUUUGUUUUUGCACACGGCACGCGGAGGCGGGGCCUCCAGCCCCAAUAGUGACGCGCUCUCUGCCUUUCACCAGGCGCCCAAGCCUGACGAACAGAAAGGCAAACCAAUGAGAUUGGACGCCUCGCAGACGAAAGCCAAUAAAAAUAUCGCCCGCGAGCAAGGGAGGCGGGCCACUGGGAAGGACAGCAAAAUUAGCUAAUAAGGUGAAGCGAUUGCAGGCGCUGUGGCUUUCCCGCCCAUUCGCGGCGUUGGUUUUCCCGCUUCUGAGACUUGUUUGGGGAGGUUAAAAUUUGGAGGAUAACUCCCAGCUAGAAAGGAAGAAAAGCUCUAAAGUGGAAUCGCCUUCCCCCGGAAGCUGUUGUAAAAAUUAAAGGAUGUAUGUGAGUG
Molecule: long non-coding RNA, 987 nt
Filed under: Homo sapiens (human)
Lineage: Eukaryota; Metazoa; Chordata; Mammalia; Primates; Hominidae
Description: HSALNT0340602
Source: RNAcentral